Non-coding RNA from Kogia breviceps (pygmy sperm whale), 1978 nucleotides. Lineage: Eukaryota; Metazoa; Chordata; Mammalia; Artiodactyla; Physeteridae. The record is from RefSeq and is a predicted model, not a curated record.
UUGCGCAUGCGUCAGCUAGUUGCUCAAAGUCGACCCGGGAGCUUGGGCGCGAAGGGUCGCGCUGAAGCGUUCCCUCCUCUUCCUCCUCCUCCUCCUCUUCCCGAGUCCGCCAGCUGACGCGGACUGGAACUCUCCCGGAAGAGUCUUCAAAAUCUGGGGUGGAUUUUAUACCUACAGCACAUGUCAAUUCAGAUUAGCCCUACUUCAAGUACUCAUGUGGCUGUGUGAAGGUCUAGGAUAUGCCUCUCCUAGAAGAAGUUAACUGGGAGGCCAAGAUAAUAAUCAGAAGACUCUCUGUGCCGCUUGGCGUGUGGGAUCGAACCCACUCCCCCGGCAGUGGAAGCACGGAGUCUUAACCACUGGACUGCCAGGGAAGCCCCAUGUUGUUAUACUCUUGAAGGUAUUCCCAUAGCCCUGAUCCUCUGAAGCUGUGAUUUGACUUACAAGAGAAAAGAAGCCUUCAUCACUGGCCUGGAUGGAGCAGCCUGUGAUUAGAAAACCCUUUCUCCCUCUGCUACUUGCACCUGGAAUCGGAAGACCCUGUGGAAUGAGCUGUUCAGGUUUUCCUGGGAUGAGAGAUGAAAACCACCAGCACUUGUCCUGUUUAAAACUAAACAGUCAAAAGUAGCCUCAUAUGUUCCUUGGAAGACAUCUACCCUCCCUGACUGGAAGUAUUUCACAAAAGAAUCCCCACGUCUCAAGCUCUGAAAUAGGAAUUGUGUGCCCAGAGGUGACUUCAUCUAUCCGCCUGGUUCUCUCUUCCAUCCCCCACCCGAUCUCUGCUCUUGUAUCUGCCUAUCCUUCUGACUUGGCGCUGGACCCAGGGGGCUGACACAGACUCAUUCAGGUGAAUGGUUGCUCAUACACCCACCUUUCUUUCUUUCCACGUGGCCUGGCUUCUCCUGGGCUCUCCUCUAUCCUGGGCUCCCGGGUUUUGGACUAGGAAGUGACCAGAAGCCUUGAAGGCUUGUAGGUGAAAGUGGACAAGAUGCUGGCAGAGGGUAUCCCAGAACAAUUCCCAGAAACAUGGAAGCAGGGAUGCAGGGUGAUGCAUCACUCCUCUUCCCCUCCUUCCUCAGAGCUGAGACUAUCAGCAGAGGCCAGAAAUCUUGGAGAGGAAAGUGCUGGGUGUGUGUAUGUAGCCAGGGGAAGAGAGUUGCUUGUUCUGUUUUCCUUAGGGGAGGGGAGGAGAGGGGAACGGAAGGGGAGGGGAACGGAGGGGAAGGGAAGGGAAAGGGAGAUAUUCUGGCUUGGACACGACUGAUAAGGAGCUCUGGGGAGCAGAAGACAUUGACAGAGGUUAGCCCCUCAUAAGGCAGGGGUAGGAGAUGGGGUAAGGCAAGCAGUGAAACAAGCAUAUUCCAGUGCCCUGGGAAGAUGGACAACUCCAAGACCCUAGUUCUCCACUGUACUGUUUUUGCCCAUCUAAUUCCCACAGUCUCAUUUAUAAUUACCACUCACAAAAGUCAACCCGUUCCCCUGAUUCUUUCUCCUUAGCCCACAGAAAGGAAUUUUUCCCAUGCUUGCCAAAAAAAGAUGCCCUGAACUCUAUUUCCUCUACCAUGAGGUCUCCCUAAGGUCUAGUUUCUGUUCCUAUACAUCAGCUCCAUGAUCAUAACGUGCCCUUUGACUAAGAAUGAAGAAAACGAUUAUUAACAACAAAUACAGAAGGAUUUCUUUGGUGGGGACAGUUGCAAAAAAAGACGCAAAUUCUAGGGGAGAGGGUUAGGGGUUUCCUGCACUAACAUGUAAAUUACUGGGACUUCCCUGGUGGUCCAGAGGGUAAGACUCCGAGCUUCCCAAUGCGGGCGGCGGGUUCAAUCCCUGGUCAGGGAACUAGAUCCCUUAGUUGCAUCCCACGUGCAUGCUGCAACUAAGAGUCCGCAUGCCACAACUAAAGAUCCCACAGGAUGCAACGAAGAUCCUGUGCACCGCAACUAAGAUCCAUUGCAGCCAAAAUAAAUAAACAAAUAUUUUU